Molecule: transfer RNA, 73 nt
Filed under: Pterocles gutturalis (yellow-throated sandgrouse)
Lineage: Eukaryota; Metazoa; Chordata; Aves; Pterocliformes; Pteroclidae
Rfam family: tRNA
About the family: Transfer RNA (tRNA) molecules are approximately 80 nucleotides in length. Their secondary structure includes four short double-helical elements and three loops (D, anti-codon, and T loops).
Source: Rfam by way of RNAcentral
GGGCCAGUGGUGCAAUGGACAACGUGGAUGACUGCAGAUCAGAAGCUUGUAGGUUCGUCUCCUACCUGGCUUG